Molecule: ribosomal RNA, 377 nt
Filed under: uncultured eukaryote
Lineage: Eukaryota
Description: partial 18S ribosomal RNA
Rfam family: Eukaryotic small subunit ribosomal RNA
Source: RNAcentral
CAAUAGCGUAUAUUAAAGUUGUUGCAGUUAAAAAGCUCGUAGUUGGAUUUCGGGGCAGCCUGGCUGGUCCGCCGCAAGGCGAGUACUGGUCAGCCGCCCUUCCUCUCGAAAGCCCCGACUGCUCUUUAUUGCAGUGGUCGGGUAGUUCGGGACGUUUACUUUGAAAAAAUUAGAGUGUUCAAGGCAGGCCUACGCCUGAAUACAUUAGCAUGGAAUAAUGGAAGAGGACCUCGGUCCUAUUUUGUUGGUUUCCAGGACCGAAGUAAUGAUUAAGAGGGACAGUUGGGGGCAUUCGUAUUUAAUUGUCAGAGGUGAAAUUCUCGGAUUUAUGGAAGACGAACAACUGCGAAAGCAUUUGCCAAGGAUGUUUUCAUUAA